Long non-coding RNA from Eriocheir sinensis (Chinese mitten crab), 866 nucleotides. RefSeq lists it as uncharacterized. The record is from RefSeq and is a predicted model, not a curated record. The transcript has 5 exons. NCBI's taxonomy places the organism in Eukaryota, Metazoa, Arthropoda, Malacostraca, Decapoda, Varunidae.
UUUAGAAACACAAUAUUCAUAUGUGACUGUAUUACAGAAGUAAUGGUGUCGGUGUCGACCUGGGGCACUGCUGAAGUUAGUGACUGGCUAACAAGAAUAGGACUACACAACUAUGUUCAAGUUUUUAUAGACAAUGAAAUGGAAGGGCAAGACAUUAUAGACAUCAACGAGAAGAUGAUAGGGAAGCUGAUUCCUCCAGUGGGAAAACAACUUCUCUUCUUUCGGGAGCAGGCUACUUUGAAGGACCCAACUAGUCUUUCAGUGCUGGAUACCCAACCUAAAGGUGGAAGAACGUCACAGCCAACUCAUGACGCAGUGGAAGCAAGAGCAAGUACUCCAGUGAGCAGUAUAUGUGGAGAGCCAUCGUUAUCAUCUCUAACAGACACUUUACUGUCUGAUGAGGAGGAAGUCUCUCAGCCACCUUCCACAGUUAUCAAUGACGAGACCUCUGGUGACCUUUGGAAUGAUUUGCAGAAUUACAAACUGCCUCUUUUUCCGCCAUGCGUAAAGACCCUCUUACAAACAAGAAAAAGUCCACAAGAUUACCUGCCUGGAACUUCAAACAGAAGAAGAAUCAUUGAGGUCCUUACAUGUGACCUACAAAAGAGGAAUAUCCUGACACCUUCAAAACAGGGAUACACCAACCUACUAGAUGCCCUGUUUAGUGAAUAUCCACACAUUGGAGACCCAAAAUGUUGGAGGAUGUCCCUUCGUACCAAGAUGAAAAACAUUCGAGUGCCACUAACAUCACACAACACUGUGAAAAUUCUUAAAGAAAAAUUUGGCUGUCCAGUAACAGGAGGUCGGAAAAGUACGGCAUUGUCAGAAAAGGAAGAAGUUCAACCACGCAAGAAAAGGCAAAAGCU